UUUUUGAUUUUUUUUGU
RNAcentral lists this small RNA (17 nucleotides) under Arabidopsis thaliana (thale cress). RNAcentral's name for it is "ATSL286430". Lineage: Eukaryota; Viridiplantae; Streptophyta; Magnoliopsida; Brassicales; Brassicaceae. The record is from RNAcentral.